RNAcentral lists this unclassified non-coding RNA (336 nucleotides) under soil metagenome. RNAcentral's name for it is "partial contains 5.8S ribosomal RNA, internal transcribed spacer 2, and large subunit ribosomal RNA". The stretch from base 1 to 120 matches the Rfam family "5.8S ribosomal RNA", at positions 35 to 154 of the family's 154-position model. The record is from RNAcentral.
GAUGAAGAACGUAGCGAAAUGCGAUAAGUAGUGUGAAUUGCAGAAUUCAGUGAAUCAUCGAAUCUUUGAACGCACAUUGCGCCCCAUGGUAUUCCGUGGGGCAUGCCUGUUCGAGCGUCAUUUACCCCCUCAAGCUCCGCUUGGUGUUGGGCGUCUGUCCCGCUUCGCGCGCGGACUCGCCCCAAAGGUAUUGGCAGCGGUCGUGCCAGCUUCUCGCGCAGCACAUUGCGCUUCUCGAGGCACCGGUGGGCCCGCGUCCAUCAAGCUCACCCCCCAGUUUGACCUCGGAUCAGGUAGGGAUACCCGCUUAAUUUAAGCAUAUCAAUAAGCGGAGGA